RNAcentral lists this ribosomal RNA (253 nucleotides) under uncultured bacterium. RNAcentral's name for it is "partial 16S ribosomal RNA". It matches the Rfam family "Bacterial small subunit ribosomal RNA", at positions 524 to 776 of the family's 1533-position model. The record is from RNAcentral.
UACGUAGGGUGCAAGCGUUGUCCGGAAUUAUUGGGCGUAAAGAGCUCGUAGGCGGUUUGUUGCGUCGGCUGUGAAAACGCGAGGCUUAACCUCGCGCCUGCAGUGGGUACGGGCAGACUAGAGUGCGGUAGGGGAGACUGGAAUUCCUGGUGUAGCGGUGAAAUGCGCAGAUAUCAGGAGGAACACCGGUGGCGAAGGCGGGUCUCUGGGCCGUUACUGACGCUGAGGAGCGAAAGCAUGGGGAGCGAACAGG